UCCGUAGGUGAACCUGCGGAAGGAUCAUUACCGAGUUGAUUCGGGCUCCGGCCCGAUCCUCCCACCCUUUGUGUGCCUACCUCUGUUGCUUUGGCGGGCCGCGGUUCUCCGCGGCCGCCCCCCUCCCCGGGGGGUGGUCAGCGCCCGCCAGAGGACCAUCAAACUCCAGUCAGUAAACGAUGCAGUCUGAAAAACAUUUAAUAAACUAAAACUUUCAACAACGGAUCUCUUGGUUCUGGCAUCGAUGAAGAACGCAGCGAAAUGCGAUAAGUAAUGUGAAUUGCAGAAUUCAGUGAAUCAUCGAAUCUUUGAACGCACAUUGCGCCCUUUGGUAUUCCGAAGGGCAUGCCUGUUCGAGCGUCAUUACAACCCUCAAGCUCUGCUUGGUAUUGGGCACCGUCCUAUGCGGGCGCGCCUCAAAGACCUCGGCGGUGGCGUCUUGCCUCAAGCGUAGUAGAACAUACAUCUCGCUUCGGAGCGCAGGGCGUCGCCCGCCGGACGAACCUUCUGAACUUUUCUCAAGGUUGACCUCGGAUCAGGUAGGGAUACCCGCUGAACUUAAGCAUAUCAAUAAGCGGAGGA
This 582-nucleotide ribosomal RNA is filed under the name Botryosphaeria dothidea. Its description in RNAcentral is "eukaryotic LSU rRNA". The stretch from base 210 to 363 matches the Rfam family "5.8S ribosomal RNA". Lineage: Eukaryota; Fungi; Ascomycota; Dothideomycetes; Botryosphaeriales; Botryosphaeriaceae. The record is from RNAcentral.